Molecule: ribosomal RNA, 492 nt
Filed under: uncultured bacterium
Lineage: Bacteria
Description: partial 16S ribosomal RNA
Rfam family: Bacterial small subunit ribosomal RNA
Source: RNAcentral
AGUGAACGCUGGCGGUAGGCCUAACACAUGCAAGUCGAACGGCAGCACAGUAAGAGCUUGCUCUUACGGGUGGCGAGUGGCGGACGGGUGAGGAAUACAUCGGAAUCUACUUUUUCGUGGGGGAUAACGUAGGGAAACUUACGCUAAUACCGCAUACGACCUACGGGUGAAAGCAGGGGAUCUUCGGACCUUGCGCGAUUGAAUGAGCCGAUGUCGGAUUAGCUAGUUGGCGGGGUAAAGGCCCACCAAGGCGACGAUCCGUAGCUGGUCUGAGAGGAUGGGAAGCGGCACUGGAAGGGGGACGCGCACCAGAGUACUACGGGAGGGAGCAGUGGGGGAGGUGGGACAAUGGGCGAGAGUCUGAUACAGCGAUGCCGCGUAUGAGAAGGAGGCCUUCGGGUUGGAAAGAAGGUUUGUCGGGAAAGAAACGCUUGGCUCGGAUACAGUGGGGGGAUGACGGGAAAGGAAGAAGAAGAAACGGCUAACUACGUG